CAAAAGCAUUUUAUGAUCUUGAAUGCUCUUGGGAUGUGAUCCACAGUCCAGGAGACGGAAAGGACACUGUCUGCAGUCACCUGUGUGUGGAGGACGCCGGAGAGCAGGGGCUGGCCAGGAUGGAAGGAUGGAGGCAGGGUCAGACAGUUCUUACAGGUCUAAUGUCAUCUGUGAAUUUCACUUCCCAGUGAGUGGGGCCUUCUCUUCUUUCUGAGAUGCCAGCACUGAAGGAGUGGGGGUCAGUGUCAUCCACGUACGGGGCUGAGCGGGAGGCCUCACAAGAGCUACAGCUGGCGUUUGAAGGGCGAUCCCUCAGCUCCCUGGGGAGGGUUCGGCGCCUGAGGCUGACCUGGCGGUGAGGGGGAGGCGGGAAUGGGCACCGUCCCUUCCGUUUCCGUAUUGGCUCAGGGAAGUCAUUGUAACUUACAAUCUUAUUUCUAUUAUUGAAUUCUAAAAAUAACACCAUUCCACUGUGGAAAUUUUGGAAAACACCGAAAAGCAUAAAGGAAAAAGAAAUCAGGCAAGCACAGCCUCCCCCGGGCAGGGCUGUUAGUAUUUUGGCCUAUUUCCCUCCCCUGGGCUGUGUCGUUGAGCUCUUCCUGUGUCCUUGGCUUUUCACUUAUCAUUCUGACUGAGGCCUUUCCCCAGCUCAUUAAAAAUUUGCAAAUGUGAUUUUUUAAUGACAGCACAUGAUUGUCUGCCACAAAGCACUGUCUUCACUUACUCUCCUCGACCUCUUGGCAUUUAGAUUGUUUUCCUGUGUGAGUGUGCACAGAUGUGCGUGCCCGUGUGCGCAUGUGUGAGAUUAUAAAUGCAUGGCGAUGACCCUUUGCAGGCAUGUCUUUGCAGGCAUGUCUUGUAUGUCUUAACUUUCGCCUUUAUUUUUGAGGACCUGCCUACCCCACAGGGUUUUAUGAGGCUCCAAGGAGAAAUGGAUAUCAAGGUGCUUUGAAAACCGUGGAGAAAAGAGCCAUCCAAAUGGAAGUGCUAUGGCCGUUCCUUUGGACAACAGCAAUAACAAACAAGAGGAAUGGACGACUUUCCGUCGACGCCAGGACUGGGGUGGGCAGUGGGGUCUCAGAGGCCUGGUAUCCCGGUGGUCAAACUCCAGACAGAGG
Molecule: long non-coding RNA, 1118 nt
Organism: Choloepus didactylus (southern two-toed sloth)
Lineage: Eukaryota; Metazoa; Chordata; Mammalia; Pilosa; Megalonychidae
Exons: 3
Source: RefSeq, a predicted model, not a curated record